RNAcentral lists this ribosomal RNA (457 nucleotides) under uncultured bacterium. RNAcentral describes it as "bacterial SSU rRNA". It matches the Rfam family "Bacterial small subunit ribosomal RNA", at positions 28 to 509 of the family's 1533-position model. The record is from RNAcentral.
GAUGAACGCUGGCGGUAUGCCUAACACAUGCAAGUCGUACGAGAGUUUUUAACUCUAGUGGCGGACGGGUGAGUAACACGUGAGAAUUUGCCUUUAGGAGGGGGACAACAAUCGGAAACGAAUGCUAAUACCCCAUAUGCUUUCGAGUGAAAUGGAUUUUAUCCGCCUAGAGAGAAGCUCGCGGCUGAUUAGCUUGUUGGUAAGGUAAGAGCUUACCAAGGCGACGAUCAGUAUCUGGUUUGAGAGGACGAUCAGACACACUGGAACUGAGACACGGUCCAGACUCCUACGGGAGGCAGCAGUGGGGAAUUUUCCGCAAUGGGCGAAAGCCUGACGGAGCAAUACCGCGUGAGGGGAAGAAUGCCUAUGGGGUUGGUAAACCUACGUUUUUUCCUAGGGUAGGGAAAGUCGAAAAUGACGUGUACCUGAAGAAUAAGACAUCGGCUAACUCCGUGCC